This 504-nucleotide ribosomal RNA is filed under the name uncultured bacterium. Its description in RNAcentral is "partial 16S ribosomal RNA". It matches the Rfam family "Bacterial small subunit ribosomal RNA", at positions 28 to 507 of the family's 1533-position model. The record is from RNAcentral.
GACGAACGCUGGCGGCGUGCUUAACACAUGCAAGUCGAACGGUGAAGCGCUUGCCUUUUUGGUGGGUGUGGAUGAGUGGCGAACGGGUGAGUAACACGUGAGUAACCUGCCCUCUUCUUCUGGAUAACCUCAUGAAAGUGGGGCUAAUACGGGGUAUUCCGGGUCUGUCGCAUGGCGGGUUUGGGAAAGAUUGCGCCUUUGGGUGUUUUCAGUGGGGGAUGGGCUCGCGGCCUAUCAGCUUGUUGGUGGGGUGAUGGCCUACCAAGGCGGUGACGGGUAGCCGGCCUGAGAGGGUGGACGGCCACACUGGGACUGAGACACGGCCCAGACUCCUGCGGGAGGCAGCAGUGGGGAAUAUUGCACAAUGGGCGCAAGCCUGAUGCAGCGACGCCGCGUGAGGGAUGGAGGCCUUCGGGUUGUGAACCUCUUUCGCCAGUGAAGCAGGCCUGCUCCUGUGUGGGUGGGUUGACGGUAGCUGGAUAAGAAGCGCCGGCUAACUACGUG